Molecule: transfer RNA, 72 nt
Filed under: Candidatus Kaiserbacteria bacterium
Lineage: Bacteria; Candidatus Kaiseribacteriota
Description: tRNA-Arg
Rfam family: tRNA
About the family: Transfer RNA (tRNA) molecules are approximately 80 nucleotides in length.
Source: RNAcentral
CUCCUCGUAGUUCAACGGAUAGAACGCGAGCUUGCGGAGCUCGUAAUGUAGGUUCGAUUCCUGCCGAGGAGG